AUGACUGCAGCAAUCAGAGGUGGAAUAGGCGCCUUUUGGAAGGCUCUGCAGUGUGACUCAGCAGCUCAGCUCCAGUUACGUGACCCAGAAUCCACUUGGCACAAAACCUUCCUGUUCUCACUGCUGGGCCACAGCUCUGCUGGCUGCAGAACAGCCUGUGUUAGCCCUCGCAUACCCUGUUCGUUGCUCCACGACUGUGCUUUGCCUUCAGUUUUGCAGGCACCAAUGUGGUUCUUUGCUUGGCACGGGUUCUUCCCUUCCAGCUCUUCCAGUGUGGUUUCUGGAUGAAAAAGAGGAAAAAAAAAAAAAGAUGGUGCCUUCCUACAUUCCCCCUCAUAGAUACCAUCUGGAUUGCAAACAACUCACCCAAAUAGAAUACGAAGCUUGGCAGGAGAAAAAAAAAGCCCCUUGUGUGUCUUUCCAAAUUGAUAUUUCAAUAUCUCUGUUUUGCACCAACUGAAACAAGCCCAAAUUCUCUGGUAGGAGAGUGUGCACUAGCAUGGCUUCUAUUUUAUUAAGAACAAACAAACAGCAACAACAACAACAAAAAAGCAUGGCAGUCAUUUAGCUGUAAUGGCCAAGAUAUAAAAUGUCAGUUUUAUUUAUGGCAAGUAGCUGGGUAGAAAAUAUGUCCUGGCAUCGCUUGAGAUUUCAAGAACUUUGUUUUCCUUUUUCUCCUGCUGCAUGAAAUAAUGCUGUAUUCUUAACAAACAAACAAAGAAAAACAAAGAAGAAAACAGCCCUCUCCAGUGAGAAGGACCAUGUUCUUCUCUCCACAGAACCAGAAUGAGUGGACCUGUGACAGACAUAUGGACAUGAAAGUCAAAUCAGGUGUUCAGGGCCUCAAGCCCAUGCUUUCUGCCUCCAUGUUCCUGUGAUAAUCACUGGGGAAAUCAGCACACUGGAGUUAUAGUUUUCUGCUGUAUUUCUGACCAAAAGUUCCAUGCUGGAACAACAAGACUUCACGCUGAGACCAAUGAACCACAACAUCAGGCUUUGUGCUACCGGUAUCAGAGUGUUACAUGGCUGUGGCUGCUGACUUGUGCUUGGAUGAGCCUACACAAAUGCCAUUAAGUCAUUAAAACGCUGCUUGAACCAGCUUCCUACACAGCUCUAAUUAAAAUUAGCCAAUCUAAUCAAUGAUCCUGCAGUUUACUUUUGUAUAUAGUAUCUCACUUUCACCCAGGAACCCUCCCUAAGGGACCACCGUGCCUGCAAAUGCAGAGCAAAAUAGCCAUCCUGGCACGCUUCUCUUAUCUGGAUGUGAAAAGUGACAUCAGCCUGAGCU
Molecule: long non-coding RNA, 1288 nt
Filed under: Coturnix japonica (Japanese quail)
Lineage: Eukaryota; Metazoa; Chordata; Aves; Galliformes; Phasianidae
Description: lncRNA (ENSCJPG00005013077.1)
Source: RNAcentral